GAGCGAACGCUGGCGGCGUACUUAACACAUGCAAGUCGAACGAGGAUCAUCGGGUUAGCAAUAAUUCGUGGUCCUAGUGGCGCACGGGUGAGUAACACGUGGGUGACCUGCCCUUGAGCUCGGGAUACCCCCUCCGAAAGGGGGGCGUAAUACCGGAUACGUUCCUCGGUCGAAAGACUGAGGAGGAAAGGUGGCGCAAGCUGCCGCUCUUGGAGGGGCGUCGCGGCCUAUCAGCUAGUUGGCGGGGUAACGGGCCCCACCCAAGGCUAUGACGGGUAGCUGGUCUGAGAGGACGACCAGCCACACGGGGAC
This 312-nucleotide ribosomal RNA is filed under the name uncultured bacterium. RNAcentral describes it as "bacterial SSU rRNA". It matches the Rfam family "Bacterial small subunit ribosomal RNA", at positions 27 to 319 of the family's 1533-position model. The record is from RNAcentral.